UGGGGAAUUUUGGACAAUGGGGGCAACCCUGAUCCAGCAAUGCCGCGUGAGUGAAGAAGGUCUUCGGAUUGUAAAGCACUUUAAGUUGGGAGGAGGGGUUGUAGAUUAAUACUCUGCAAUUUUGACGUUACCGACAGAAUAAGCACCGGCUAACUCUGUGCCAGCAGCCGCGGUAAUACAGAGGGUGCAAGCGUUAAUCGGAAUUACUGGGCGUAAAGCGCGCGUAGGUGGUUUGUUAAGUUGGAUGUGAAAUCCCCGGGCUCAACCUGGGAACUGCAUCCAAAACUGGCAAGCUAGAGUAUGGUAGAGGGUGGUGGAAUUUCCUGUGUAGCGGUGAAAUGCGUAGAUAUAGGAAGGAACACCAGUGGCGAAGGCGACCACCUGGACUGAUACUGACACUGAGGUGCGAAAGCGUGGGGAGCAAACAGGAUUAGAUACCCCCGUAGUCCCUGAGCGGGCUGGCAAGGCGCAU
RNAcentral lists this ribosomal RNA (472 nucleotides) under uncultured bacterium. Its description in RNAcentral is "bacterial SSU rRNA". It matches the Rfam family "Bacterial small subunit ribosomal RNA", at positions 355 to 825 of the family's 1533-position model. The record is from RNAcentral.